RNAcentral lists this ribosomal RNA (491 nucleotides) under uncultured bacterium. RNAcentral's name for it is "partial 16S ribosomal RNA". It matches the Rfam family "Bacterial small subunit ribosomal RNA", at positions 29 to 506 of the family's 1533-position model. The record is from RNAcentral.
AGUGAACGCUGGCGGUAGGCCUAACACAUGCAAGUCGAACGGCAGCACAGUAAGAGCUUGCUCUUACGGGUGGCGAGUGGCGGACGGGUGAGGAAUACAUCGGAAUCUACUUUUUCGUGGGGGAUAACGUAGGGAAACUUACGCUAAUACCGCAUACGACCUACGGGUGAAAGCAGGGGAUCUUCGGACCUUGCGCGAUUGAAUGAGCCGAUGUCGGAUUAGCUAGUUGGCGGGGUAAAGGCCCACCAAGGCGACGAUCCGUAGCUGGUCUGAGAGGAUGAUCAGCCACACUGGAACUGAGACACGGUCCAGACUCCUACGGGAGGCAGCGGUGGGGAAUAUUGGACAAUGGGCGCAAGCCUGAGCCAGCCAUACCGCGUGGGUGAAGAAGGCCUUCGGGUUGUAAAGCCCUUUUGUUGGGAAAGAAAAGCAGCAGGUUAAUACCCCGCUGUUCUGACGGUACCCAAAGAAUAAACACCGGCUAACUUCGU